RNAcentral lists this unclassified non-coding RNA (392 nucleotides) under soil metagenome. RNAcentral's name for it is "partial contains 5.8S ribosomal RNA, internal transcribed spacer 2, and large subunit ribosomal RNA". The stretch from base 1 to 122 matches the Rfam family "5.8S ribosomal RNA", at positions 35 to 154 of the family's 154-position model. The record is from RNAcentral.
GAUGAAGAACGCAGCGAAAUGCGAUACUUGGUGUGAAUUGCAGAAUCCCGUGAACCAUCGAGUCUUUGAACGCAAGUUGCGCCCGAAGCCAUUAGGUCGAGGGCACGCCUGCCUGGGCGUCACACGUCGUUGCCCCCCCCAUCUACUCCUUCGGGAUUGCGGGGGGCGGAUGAUGGCCUCCCGUGCGCCUCGCCGCGCGGUUGGCAUAAAUGCCAAGUCCUCGGCGACGCACGCCACGACAAUCGGUGGUUGCGAAACCUCGGUUGCCCGUCGUGUGCGGUCGUCGCGCAUCGAGGGCUCGAAAAAAUUGCCGAGUUCCGGCUCGGCUUUCAACGCGACCCCAGGUCAGGCGGGGUUACCCGCUGAAUUUAAGCAUAUCAAUAAGCGGAGGA